RNAcentral lists this ribosomal RNA (541 nucleotides) under Saccharomyces cerevisiae (brewer's yeast). Its description in RNAcentral is "partial large subunit ribosomal RNA". It matches the Rfam family "Eukaryotic large subunit ribosomal RNA", at positions 102 to 657 of the family's 3401-position model. Lineage: Eukaryota; Fungi; Ascomycota; Saccharomycetes; Saccharomycetales; Saccharomycetaceae. The record is from RNAcentral.
CAAAAGCUCAAAUUUGAAAUCUGGUACCUUCGGUGCCCGAGUUGUAAUUUGGAGAGGGCAACUUUGGGGCCGUUCCUUGUCUAUGUUCCUUGGAACAGGACGUCAUAGAGGGUGAGAAUCCCGUGUGGCGAGGAGUGCGGUUCUUUGUAAAGUGCCUUCGAAGAGUCGAGUUGUUUGGGAAUGCAGCUCUAAGUGGGUGGUAAAUUCCAUCUAAAGCUAAAUAUUGGCGAGAGACCGAUAGCGAACAAGUACAGUGAUGGAAAGAUGAAAAGAACUUUGAAAAGAGAGUGAAAAAGUACGUGAAAUUGUUGAAAGGGAAGGGCAUUUGAUCAGACAUGGUGUUUUGUGCCCUCUGCUCCUUGUGGGUAGGGGAAUCUCGCAUUUCACUGGGCCAGCAUCAGUUUUGGUGGCAGGAUAAAUCCAUAGGAAUGUAGCUUGCCUCGGUAAGUAUUAUAGCCUGUGGGAAUACUGCCAGCUGGGACUGAGGACUGCGACGUAAGUCAAGGAUGCUGGCAUAAUGGUUAUAUGCCGCCCGUCUGCC